UACGUAGGGUGCGAGCGUUGUCCGGAAUUAUUGGGCGUAAAGAGCUCGUAGGCGGUUCGCUAAGUCGGAUGUGAAAACUCUGGGCUCAACCCAGAGCCUGCAUCCGAAACUGGCGGGCUAGAGUUCUGGAGGGGGUAGCGGAAUUCCUGGUGUAGCGGUGAAAUGCGUAGAUAUCAGGAGGAACACCCGUGGCGAAGGCGGCUCUCUGGGACGGUACUGACGCUGAGACGCGAAAGCGUGGGGAGCGAACAGG
Molecule: ribosomal RNA, 253 nt
Filed under: uncultured bacterium
Lineage: Bacteria
Description: partial 16S ribosomal RNA
Rfam family: Bacterial small subunit ribosomal RNA
Source: RNAcentral